Molecule: ribosomal RNA, 375 nt
Filed under: uncultured eukaryote
Lineage: Eukaryota
Description: SSU rRNA
Rfam family: Eukaryotic small subunit ribosomal RNA
Source: RNAcentral
AGCUCUGUAAGCGUAUACCAAAGUUGUUGCAGUUAAAACGCUCGUAGUCGAACUUUGGCGUGAGAUACUGAGACUCCUACUGGAUGUUGAGGUAGCUCCGCCUUUGUGGAGGGGAGUGUGGUGGUGCUUUAUUGCAUUGCUGCAUUUCCGCCACUUUUUACUGUGAAAAAAUUAGAGUGUUCAAAGCGAGCGUUUGCCAUGAAUACAUUAGCAUGGAAUAAUAGAAUAGGACCUGGUCCUGUUUUAUUGGUUUGUCUGUAUCAGGUAAUGAUUAACAGGGACGGUCGGGGGCACUUGUAUUCCAGGGUUAGAGGUGAAAUUCUUAGAUCCUUGGAAGACAAACAGCUGCGAAAGCGUCUGCCAAGGACGUUUUCA